UUUUUUUUUUUUUUUUUUUUUUUUUUUACUUCAUAAGAAUUCCAUCAAUAAGACUUGGCUUUAGGAAACCAGACACAGAUCUAUGAGAGAUCUCAGAAUUGACACUGAGAGUAUUUAUUGCUCUAAUCGCCUUGGUUCAAACUAAAGCACAAUGCUCAGGGAGGAGACGAAGUGUAUGAAAACAAGGAGGAGAGGAAUCACAAAUGAUGUGCCCCCCGCCCCCUAAAGGAAACACUAUGGCCUUUGCUAAAGGUUCAUUAUCAGCUGGUGCCUGGACUUGAAGGCAAAGCAAAUAACAACAUUCCAAAAUAGGCCUAAUUUGUACAGAAUGAUGCCAAAUGGCCAAAUGGAACAUGCUCUUCUGUGCAUUCGGCCCCUUCUGCAACCAACAGGUUCUGAGCUAGAAACUGACACCCAAAGAUGAAGGAAGCUAGCUAGCUCCAGGCCUGGAGGAAUGCACAAGCUGGAAUAAGUGGUUACAGCACAGAACCUGGGCCAAAUUUAUUUUCACUUUGUUAUAACCAAUAAAAUGUGCAAAGAUUUAAAGCCACGUGGCAUCUGGGGGCCUACCACGCCCAAUCUCACAAAGGCUCUUAUGAAAAAUGCAUGGGUGAAGUCGUUCGAUAAUGAUUGAUCCAGUCUGAACCCAUGAUAUCUGGUAACUUGGAGGAAAGGGUGAGGACUAAACCUAAACCAGCCCCGGCCUCCAUUCGCUGUGGUUUAUUUCUGAAAAGAUUCCAUAGUGUAACAGUGCUUGUUCCCCACAAAUAAUACAGUUUCACUCUUCCUUGGAGACUCUACCUAGGGAGGAAGAUUAGAUGCAUAAGCCAUUAGUACUAAUUAUUGGUAAUGUCUCAGGGCUUUAGGACAAUUACUACUAAAGUUACUGCCUGGAAACAGAAUAAUCACACUAAUUGGAGUUCAUCCUAUAUUCAUCUUCAUAGUAAGCACAACCCUGAGGUGAAAUUUGGUGUCCAUAAAUGGAAGCCAUUUCAGCUGCCAAAAGUGAUUUUCCAAAGAUGCAGGCCCCCCAUGAAUAGAAUGAAGAACAAACAACCUUGCACCCUGUGAAGCGUGGCGAGCGUGGUAUGCACCAAAACCGUCUUACAAGAACACUGAGAAGGGGCAAAAAACCAAUAUGUUCCCGCCUUCUAUCCUUUUCAUCCAGAGGAGUGGAGACAGCAAAUAAUCACAUCCGCUUUGACAAAUGCAAGAACAAAAAUGCCAAGUGCUACACAAGGUGAGGACAGGCAGGAAAGGCAUCUCUGAGAAAGUGGCAUUUAACUGAAGGGUUCUUGGCCAGUGGGAGAAAGAAUAUUCCAGGCAGAGGGAACAGUAGGCAAGAGCCUGCAUGCAGCAGCCUUGAGAGAACGAGGGUGGACAAGAGAGAAGGAUGAGGGAGUUUGAAGAGGAAACUAGAAGAUACAUGUGCAGGAAUUUACAGAUUGGCAAGGAUUUUUAUAUUUUAUUCUAAGUGGACCAGAAAGUCAUGAUAUAAAGUCUUAGGUAGAGGGAUGUAGCAGGGUAUUAAGGCAGUAAUCAAAGAGAGGAAUAGAAGCCUUAGAAGCUUCUGUGAGGUUCAUGGCUUAGAGCAGAGGGUACUGAACAUACAGAGAGACAAUGACAAGGGAGGCUUACGGAGCUGGGUCACCAGGAAGAGCCCAGUUUUAGGGAAUCAGAGGAAAAAGGAUUGACCAAGAAUAAGCAUGAAAUGAGGACCAUGGACAUCAGCUUGAAAAUAGACAUUGCGUAAAUUAAAGAGCUAAAAUUAAAAAUCCUAUUACUUGCAGCACAUUUUAUGCAGAAAGUAAUUGACCACGUAUAAGCUUUUAUAAAAGACACUAAAUAGUACCAACUUUCAAUUAUUUCAGGGUCCGUGGUUUAUCUGGUGUAGUAAAAUUGAAUUGUUAUAUUCAAUUUCGUGGUGGAUUAAUGAGGUAAUAUUUUCAUUGCCAUAGUUAACACAACAUGACGUGACCUGAAAUUUGAAAUACAAGGAGGCAAUGGGUGAGUCACUCCAGAGGACACCCUCCAACCCUGCUUUUUCAGAAAGUCUCUCAAAAGUGUUAAGCACAGGCAUAUGCCCACAUCCGCAUUUGUUGAGAAUGCCCCUCAAAAAAUCCCAUAAGUAUCAGCACUUGUUUCGUUAUUUGGAAAGACCCAAAAUUUAUUAGCCUUGAUUUCUGAAGUCAUCAAGACUUGACACAAUUCCUCACACUUCUCACCGUCCACUCCCUAGUGUCCCAACUGCAUGCUAAGUAAACCUUUCAUCAAAACUCUAACCGCUUCUCACACACUUGCCUUUGCUAAAACCCGUCUUCCAACACCUCCAGCCAUGGAAACCUGCUCCAUGGUGAGACUGCGUGUGGUGAAUCCCUACCAGGAAGCCGUGAUGCUAGAGGAGGAUUUUAAAUCAGCCUACACAUCUUUUCCACUCUUUCCUUUACAAUAAGUUCUCUCUGCCAUUGUCACGAUUGGUAGGACAUUUUAAAAAAAUUUUUUUAAAGAUUUUAUUCAUUUAUUCCUGAGAGACACAGAGACCCAGGCAGAGGGAGAAGCAGGCUCCAUGCAGGGAGCCCGAUGUAGGACUCAAUCCCAGGACCCGGGGUCACGCCCUGAGCCGAAGGCAGAUGCUCAACCACUGAGCCACCCAGGGGCCCUUGGUAAGACAUUUUUAAAGAGGGCUUACCUCCAAAUAACUCCAUUUUCAUUUACUCAAACUAGCUAGUUCUUUACACUGUACUAAGUAAAUCUUUCUCUCACGUCCUUUGUUCGCGCUCUUGUAAUAUUUGGGUAUGUGCAUGUCCUUGCACAUGGGAAAGCCUAUGGGCAGGGGCAGAGAAUCUUAACAGGAUGCCAGAGUACAACCCAGGUUUCACCACACACUACUACUUGCCGGUUGGUGGCAACUGCCCAGGGCGCGGUGUCGAGAAUUCCAAGGCCUCUUGCAGGUACCAACGUCCACCAUGACCACAAGGGAGCAAACAGUACCUGCCUACACCCUUUGCCAUCCCCAGUCCAAUGAAGCCACAAAAACAUGACUUUGAACCUUACGCCAGGCUUGACAUUUUCUAAGGACAUGAAUCUUGGGGGGAAAUUAACUUCCCUGCAUCUCAUGUCACAUGGAGGCACUUGGGUUUGUCCCGCAUGGAUUGGUGAGGACCAAACCAGGGGCUCAAGCACCAUCGAUUCUCUCCACCUUCUUCUGAGGGGCAGGGGCGAGUGAAGCAGCUUUUCACACGGGACUUUGGAAUGUUCCUCACCAUAGACCACCUUUCCUAGUAUGAAUGAGCAUGAGUUGUUACAGGUUGAGCUGUGUUCCCACAAAAUUCAUACAUUGAAGCCCUAACCUCCUAACAGUAUCUCAAAAUGUGACUCUAUUUGGAGACUGGGCCUCCAAGAGGGUGAUUCAGGUAACAUGAGGCCAUGAGGAGGGGGACCUUAAUCCAGCAGGACUGCUGUGUUUACAGAAAUCAGGAAGAGACACCAGGGGUGGGUGUGUGUGCACCAGAUGCAAGAGGUCCCAGCAAGAAGGCGGCCACCGCAAGCCAAGGAGAGACAGAAGAAACCAAGAGUGCCAACACCUUGAUCUUGCACCUCUAGGCCCGUACGUGAUGCGAAAACCAAUUUCUGUUGUCUCAGCCACGCAGAGGGUGGUGCAGUGGGAGCCCCAGGAGACCAAGACAGGAGCGCCCCGUCCCUCCCUCCUCACACUCAGACACCAGGACAAAGGAGCAGGGGGCAUACUAACAAUGGGUCACUGAGGGCUGACCCAGAACAAUGCGGUUCUGCUGGCUUUUUCUACUUACCAGAAAUCCUGCCCACACAAGGGGAAUCCAGACAUGCCCAGAACAGAAAGGAAUGGUGUUCCCCUCUCUCCGGCCAGAAACCCAGCUGCAAAAUUACCGAACAAGAACCUCCAAGCACGGCCCGUUCCAAUCCUUUUCAGAAGUGUUUCACAAACCUCUGUUUAACAAGUAACGCCACUGCUCACAGGUGCCCCCUCCCCCGGCCCCCUGAGGACCAGACCGCUUAAUUAGGCAGGGCGAUGGUUCAAUACGUUCUCAGAAUCAGGUUUAAAUGGGAAUGCCAAUUAAACCGCACACUCACCACCGUGCAUUUUAAUCCUCUAAAACAGUUGUGUAAGCAGUGAGAUGAUUUCUCUGCCCGGCAAACUAUGCAAACAAUUGCCAACACGCCAGGGCCUGCUGGGUUGGUCGUGCUCUGCGCUGCUGCUACUAACAACUGUCUCAAUGCCCCAAGGGUCUGGGUUGCCUUGGCUUGGGCUUUGCAGAACCCUCCCCCCACUCCCCAUGUUACACCCUCUUCCAAUAGGAAUCCAGCCCAACGCAAAACUGGCUUCAGUUUUUUUUUCACUCCUCUUAGAAACAGCAGUGACAUUUUUCGCAAUAUUACAUCAUCCUGGACUUCCUUGCCUUUUAUCGGAGAUUCUUGGCUACCUCACUAUAGAAAGGAGUGACAAAAGGUCCUCCUUUGGUCCUAUGCCCAGCCAAUGGGCAUCGAUUCUGAAGCGAGAACUGCAAGCAGUGGCUCUUGGCUUGAAGAAGAGCAGUUAAAGGGGGAAUGGGAGUACACCUGUCCCAGGGGGCCAACUGCUCCCUGUAAGCAGCACCUGCUAACGUCAUGGUGCUUGCUGCUGGAAGCAAGGCCUUGGUCAAAGACUGUGUUACCGUGGGCAGCACUCAGGUUCAAAGUGCGACAGAGUGGCCUUCUGUAAGCAGGACGGGCUAAUUAACACUGUUGUUUCGGUGGUGGUGGUGGUGGGAGGGGGUGAUGCGAAGCCGAUGGACAUUUAGAGUCACUUUUAGAAAAAUUCACAUUUUGGGGCCCCUGGGGGGCUC
This 4862-nucleotide long non-coding RNA is filed under the name Canis lupus familiaris (dog). Its description in RNAcentral is "lncRNA (ENSCAFG00000053453.1)". Lineage: Eukaryota; Metazoa; Chordata; Mammalia; Carnivora; Canidae. The record is from RNAcentral.